Molecule: RNA transcript, 5717 nt
Organism: Amphiprion ocellaris (clown anemonefish)
Lineage: Eukaryota; Metazoa; Chordata; Actinopteri; Pomacentridae
Gene name: kinesin-1 heavy chain-like
Exons: 8
Source: RefSeq, a predicted model, not a curated record
CAGAUAUACAAGGUGACACGCCCCUGUUAGGUGGCUGCUCUGAGACCUCACUCAUGUGGAUGACAGCUGGACUUCGGUGUGACAGAGACAGUAAAGAAUGAAGAGGAAGGGAACCACCAGCAGCUUUUCCCAGCCUAAAAGAAAAGAGGAGGAAGAGCAUCCCAGAGAGGAGAUGGAGGAGGAAGAGUUCAGAGAGAGAGAAAGAAAUGAAGGCAUGCAGAGCUCCGACAGCGAAAGACCAAAGAACUACAGACUCUUCACAACCUGCUCAAACUCUUGGUACAGGACCUCACCACAUGGGUCAAGAAGGUGCAGUGAGAGAGAGACAGAAAACGGGAGAAGAGCAGAGGGAAGACAUGCAGCAAAGGACCACAAGUGGGAAUUGAACCCGGGCCGCUGCAUCAAAGACCAGCCUCUGUACAUGGAUCACCUGCUUAACCUGACCAAAGAACUACAGACUCUUCACAACCUGCUCAAACUCUUGGUACAGGACCUCACCACACGGGUCAAGAAGGUGCAGUGAGAGAGAGACAGAAAACAGGGGAGAAGAGCAGAGGGAAGACAUGCAGCAAAGGACCACAAGUGGAAAUUGAACCCGGGCCGCUGCAUCAGAGACCAGCCUCUGUACAUGGAUCACCUGCUUAACCUGACCAAAGAACUACAGACUCUUCACAACCUGCUCAAACUCUUCGUACAGGACCUCACAACACGGGUCAAGAAGAUGGCAUUACCUUCAUGAAUGGAGCAUCGACAAGUGACGUCUACAACACAACAGAAAUGUCUGGAAGCCAGUGGCCACCACUUUGAGCACUUCUUGUAAUUGUAGAGGCCAAAGAUAACUUUUAUUAAUCUCAUGAUGUCUGAAUAAAUUUGGUAUUGAAAUAUUUAUGCAAGUUUUUCUUUUCCUGAUGUGUGUAAACAUUAUUUUGCCUGACUCUGUAUAAUGGGUUUCUGACAGGUCACCAGGCAACAUCUUUUUAUAAUAAUGACAAACAUACCUGCAUUCUACAGGAGUGAUUUUCCUCAUGUGCAGGUAAAGAUGUGUGAGGAGCUUAGAGAUGACAGGAGCAGGAGUCAUCCUCACUAAUUCAGCUUCCACCUAGAAACAGAAAGACCACAAACAAACAUACUGAUAUACUCUCAAACGUUCAACCUCACAGCCUCAAAAUAUCUGUUUAGGAAGUGUUGUGUUCCUAAAUUCUGCUGAAAGCAUUGACAGACAUUCUCUUACAAGGUUGGGUAAAAAGCAGCCUGUCCUCUGAGCUACUGAGAAAUCUUCCUGAACAAAGUUUCUACGUGUAAAUCAGCUCAACAAAAACUAAAGCCUCAGUCAGAGAUAACAGGUAUCGCAAAUUAUGAACAACUUUCUUUGUUAACUCAGCCUUUCUGCUUCAACCUCACAUAAAAAGGGGAGUUUAGCUCGUCAGGUGACUGAAAAUGAAUGGCUUGUGCAGUUCUAGAUCCAAAAGUAGGAUGUUUCAAUUCAUGUUUUAUUACAAAUACAUGCAGUAAUAAAUAAAUACAAUGGCUGGUUGUUAGUUUAUUCACUAUUAAUGUCAUUUUAUACACUGGAUUGAACUUGAGCAGUGGAAGAGAGAAGGAAUUUAAUGAAAUUAUGGAGAUUCAGAGAGGUAAUGUUGCGCAAUGUGAAGUUAAGCGCUGUUUAAUUCAAACCAGCUGAAUGUUAAACUUCAGUGCAGCUGAACGAGUUUCAGUUAACCUUAAAAGUAAAAUAACUUUUUUAAAAGCUAAAAUACACAGCACAGAAAUACAGGUUGAGAAGUUCCUUCUAAUAACGAGGACAGCUGCGUCAGCAACUAACACAGGUGUUCAGUGGUAAGUUAGCCACCUGUGUUAAUUAGCCCGCUAGCUAACUUAGCCGCUUAGCUAGCUAACGCGUCCGGACCAACUGCUCAAACACGACAAAACACAACUCUUCACAAGUCGCUGACUUAACGUACAACAAAACAACGCUACUGGUUAGAAGUAUUUAUCUUCUUACCGUGUUUUACUCCAAAAACAAAGUCAACAGCAGCCAGAGAUGCUACCAGACGGCCGACCACAGAUAUACGCUAGCGUGCUGUCUUCUAUGUUAUCUAUGGUCUGACCAAUCACUGCUCUCUGGCUCCGCCCUCUGAGAAUCUUGUUGUCGUUUGGCUCCACACUUGCUGAUAACUUCCGGUCUCAGAAAAUGAAAAAACAGACCUUUUUUUCGUUUCUGUCUCUUACUGAUUUUAUUUUUUUGUUAUUCUAAAUAUAAAAUGAAAAUCAAAGCAUUUUUAAAAUUUCGUAUAUCCUUUUUUGAUCAUGAAAAGGAAAAACGCCUUGUAUUUCAAAUUUAAUUUUUGUAUUUUGAAAACAAAAAUCAAAUAACCACUUGUUUUUUGUUUUUCAAUACCCGUUUCAGAACAGAAAAUCCAAUUGCCAAAAUAUACACGGACCGUUUUCUAUUAUACUUGUGACAUUCAACUGCAUGUGGUUCAGAAAAUAUCACCAGUUAACUUCUGCAUUACCAAUUUUUCAUGGCAGCUUCAGUAUUUGUUUCAACUCUCCCUUAAUCAGACUAUUUGACCUACUUGCCUAAUAUUGCAUAUUUUGAAUCAAUGCCGAAAUUAUGUUAAAUAAUACUAAAAAGUUCAGGCAUUUAUCUUUGUAGCUCCUGAGAUAUUGUCAUUCAAUCAACCUCUAAUUUGAAUGUGCAAAUAAAGAUGACAAAGGCAAAUCUACAGGCAAUUUAAAACAUAACAUAGUUCAGUAAGUAUUUGAUAUGUCAAGCUAAUGAUUCACAAAUAUCUUUUUUAAUGUCCAUUGUUCUGCCCUGCAGCAGAAUUUCGUGUCCUGCAGUGCCCUCUACUAAUUUUUUCGUGGAAAUUAUGUUAAAGCAGGGCAUUUUCGAAGAGAGAGGAUCUGAAUGUUGCUGCUUCUUCUCCUGCUGUUUUCAUUUCAAUGUUGUGGCCUUGGAAAGUACUUGUCUGUAAGUAUCUCAGUUUGUUUGACUUGCCUUUUUCUAUUGUGUGUUUAUGUACUGAUUUUAUUCUGAUUUAUAUUUGCAAUUUGUUCUUGUUACAGAUUUACGGUUCAAAAUAAAGUGAUCUUCAAUCACAAGAAAAGUCACGCCUUGAGUUUUGAGGAAUCACACGUUUGCUAGCUGUCUACCUAUGAAACAAGAAAACUCAUAGGGAGGACAUUAUAUCCAUAUUACACGCUGUAAAGAAAAGGUCAGACAAAUCAGAAAUGGUUGAGCAGAAAAUGUAAUGAUUUGAAAUGUGUUUCAAUAGUUUUUGGUCAACAGUGGAGCUCCGAGGCUCAGAGGAAUGAGACGUAUCAGGGUUUGGUAUAAUACAAGACAGUACAGGUAUGUUCAAUUCAUUGUUAGUUGAGUGGAGAUGAUUGCUGGUAAUUUGCUCUCUCACAGGUUCCUGACUGGUUUUGAGAAUUUAACCAGCUCUGUUUGGGUCCCAAAGGUCACAGAUCUGACCUCUGAGCUUGCACCAUCUAAAUCCAGGAUCCCGGCUGGAUGCACCUUCAGCCUCAGGGCUCCCAGCAUUCUGCUGCCUCAGAGGAAGUUUCAGUCCUCUGGGUGUCAGAACAGCUGGACACCAGACCUGGAGGUGGAGGAGCAGCAGUUUGCUCUAACGGGGGAAACCUGUUGGAAAAGCCGCCUGCUCACCGUGGCGUGGAGCUGCUCUCUGGGGAGCCUCCACUCACAUGAAAAAUCUCCACAAAAUGGAAGAAAAAAACCGCAUGGAGGCAGCCAGGUCUGCUCCUUUUGGGAACGCCGGCGGUGGAGACGUAAACCAAACAAGCAUGAGUUGUGUAGAGUGAAGCAGGUCUGCAGGCUGGGGAAGCUGGUGCUUGGUACAACAAAUUACUGCUCGAUGUCUCACAACGUUUUUCCUCUCGCUGUCAGUGUGAGCUGCUGGACGAUGCUGUGCUUCCAACACUGCACCUAUUCAUGCCGGCUGUCCAUUCAUCAUCAGCAUUUAGAGAAAACAGGCGGGACUGUUUGGAUUCUCAGCACAAGGCCGUCCAAAAUACGAAACCCGAGCCUUUCUGUUCAGUGUGAACACGGCCGCAGUAAACAUUAGCGCUCAUGGCUGAGGACUUGGAGACCACAAUUGUUCCAUCUGGCACAAAUGUUCAAAGCAUUUCUGGCAGAAUGACUUUUCUUUUUUUUUUUCUUUUUAAAGCAGACGUUCACACCCUGCCUCAUCUUUCAGACCUUAUUUUACUCUUCCAGGCAGCUGUGUUGAUCUUGAACACACAAGUACAAAUUUGAGAUACUCAUUUUUUACUUGAAUAUUUGCUGCUAUUUAAUACAUUUAAUAGUUUUUCCAAAUUUAAAUUUGACAAACCAGAGUCCAGGCACAACACUAGCAUGCAGCUUCCACAACAAAAUCAUAGUUUUUACUUCUGAUAUGUUACUGUGAAUUCUAAAUGUAAUACAAGUGUAAUUACACUUAAGUAACUACUUGUAUAUUUACAAUUUAAGUAAAGAAUUUGAAAAUGUAGUCCACAAACUGGCAAAAAGACAUUUUUAUCAUGAACAUGAACAGUUGAAUGAAAGUCAUACUGAAAGAUGGACACUGCUGUCUUUUGCUGAGCUCCAGCUUUUGUAUUCGCAGCUAAUUUUGAUCAGUUUUUACAAUUACAAACUAUUAGGUUGCAUGUUUUAUCCACUACUGUUACACUUUGAGCCCUCUGAUUGAAGGAGAAAAAAAAACAUCCAAUGCAUUUUGUAAUGUGGAUGCUACACUUAUUUACUAAUAAUCAGUAAAAGGAUUUUACAGUGCAGAUAUUUAUGAUUUCUAUUCCAAACCUCUGCAUGUGUUUAAGUGCUGAAAAUCAUUGGUCUGUAAGAUACUAUCAAAACUUUGUCCAGUGAUUUUCCUCUUUUACCUUUGAAACAACUUUCUGAAAUCAGAAAAAAUUUGAAUACUGAUGUCUGAAGUUGAUGUUGAAACUCACAUUCAACAGAAGUUUCAUUUACACAAAUGCAUUUUGAUACCGUGAAAGGAUGACUACAGAGUUGGAAAAGACUGAGACUGUAUCCUGAUCAACAGCACACACUCCUCUGAAGUCUUCAUUGCUGUUUCACUUUUUAAUCUCCCUCUUAAAACAUUACAUAUCAAUCAUUCAUUGCUAUUCUUUACUUGAGUCCCUCAAUCAGCAGCAGUCAGGUAGAAUGAAGGAAACUCCUGCUUCAGGUCUGAAUAGAAACCCUGAAAAAUACCUUUAAGAAGUAAGUAAUUUACUAAGUUACAACCUAACAAGCAGUUCACACAGUGCAGCACUAUUAUUAACAUUAAACUGUCAAGUCAGUGUGCUGAAGUGAAGCAACUCAUGAGGUGCUACUUCAUUCAAUAAAGUUUUAUUUUUGCGGUGGAACUAAGUGAAAUGAUCUCAUCCCACAGGCGUUUUCUAUUUGUUUGAAGAGAAUGAGAUUUCAGUCACCACUGGACUUGGUGACUUGUUAACAUGAAUAUGGUCCACAGUUCUGCUCCCUGGCGGUCUGAGCAGCAUUUAUGGGCCUUGGCCUUCUCAGCGUUUGUUCACAUGGUGUUUUUAUGGAGGGAAACGUCUCCAGCGGCGGCCCUUCAUUUCUCCACAGGGGAACUGACCACAGACUUCCUGGAAAAGGCCUGGUGGCCGAGCAAAGACAGCGAGUCCGACUCAGCGGCCAGAUGGGACGAGCUGACCUCACUGGAGCACUUGGA